UUUUGUUUCAGUUUUAAAUAUAUCCUAUGACAUUUUACUUUUCAAAUGCUUGAAGGGUGAAAUAGUACAACUGUGUGAAGCUCAAUCUAAUGAAUUUUUAAUAGAGGAUGACGCACGAAGACUUGCAUGGGCUGGACUACAAAACGCCCACGGUGACGCCUAUGUGGCUGCAGUGAAGGCGUAUCAAGAUACGGUGGAUUUAGGGUCUAGUAGGUUAGGAUGAAUGAGUGUGCUCAAGGAACUUAUACAAGCCGAGUACGAGGUAGCUUUUCAUUUAAGAUGCUGUUAGUUUAGUAACACAAUGUCAUUUACAUAAUCGUGUAAUUAUCACAUUUUUGAGGGUUUUGAAGAUCAUCAAUCGCAAAUGGCACGAAUCUUAGGUUGCA
Non-coding RNA from Lactuca sativa (garden lettuce), 386 nucleotides. Lineage: Eukaryota; Viridiplantae; Streptophyta; Magnoliopsida; Asterales; Asteraceae. The record is from RefSeq and is a predicted model, not a curated record.